This 497-nucleotide ribosomal RNA is filed under the name uncultured bacterium. RNAcentral describes it as "partial 16S ribosomal RNA". It matches the Rfam family "Bacterial small subunit ribosomal RNA", at positions 28 to 507 of the family's 1533-position model. The record is from RNAcentral.
GAUGAACGCUGGCGGCGUGCCUAAUACAUGCAAGUCGAGCGAACAGACGAGGAGCUUGCUCCUCUGACGUUAGCGGCGGACGGGUGAGUAACACGUGGAUAACCUACCUAUAAGACUGGGAUAACUUCGGGAAACCGGAGCUAAUACCGGAUAAUAUAUUGAACCGCAUGGUUCAAUAGUGAAAGACGGUUUUGCUGUCACUUAUAGAUGGAUCCGCGCCGCAUUAGCUAGUUGGUAAGGUAACGGCUUACCAAGGCAACGAUGCGUAGCCGACCUGAGAGGGUGAUCGGACACACUGGAACUGAGACACGGUCCAGACUCCUACGGGAGGCAGCAGUAGGGAAUCUUCCGGAAUGGGCGAAAGCCUGACGGAGCAACGCCGCGUGAGUGAUGAAGGUCUUCGGAUCGUAAAACUCUGUUAUUAGGGAAGAACAAAUGUGUAAGUAACUAUGCACGUCUUGACGGUACCUAAUCAGAAAGCCACGGCUAACUACGUG